UAGCACAGGGAGGUAGUGACCAGAAAUACUGUCGGGGUGGCCCAAUUACGGGCCUCCCCGUUCGGAAUGAGUCCAAUUUAAAUCCUUGCACGAGGAUCUAGUGGAGGGCAAGUCUGGUGCCAGCAGCCGCGGUAACUCCAGCUCCACGAGCAUAUACCAAUGUUGCUGAGGUUGAAACGCUCGUAGUUUGAACUAAAUCGCGGCGGACGGGUCUAUGGGCUUAUGGUGCGUCGCUCUGCGGCGUUGCCUGCCUUCGGCCUGCCUCCGUUCGCAAUCAAAACUUGCCGUGCUCGCGGGGCGUGCCUCUAACGGGGUGCGCCUUCCCAAGCGGCUAGCCGUCACGUCCCCUCACGGGGGCCCGGCUACGUCCGUUCGCGGCCGGCACCUUCACUUUGCAAAAAGCGUAGUGCUCAACGCAAGCCAUUGGCCGCUUCGGCGGGCCUUAUUAGUGCCUGUGCCUGGUGCAUUGGAUGAUACAACAGGGCCUCGGUCGCAUGUUUCUCAAGGGUUCGUUUUAGCGACCCGAGGCAAUGAUUAAUAGAAACGGACGGGGGCAUUCGUACUGUGACGCGAGAGGUGAAAUUCUUAGACCGUCGCAUGACGAACUAAAGCGAAAGCAUCUGCCAAGGACGCUUUCAUUAAUCAAGAACGAAAGUUAGAGGUUCGAAGGCGAUUAGAUACCGCCCUAGUUCUUACCGUAAACUAUGCUGACCAGCGAUCCGGAGUAGCCGCUGCCUUUGGCACUCCGGGAAGCUUCCGGGAAACCAAAGUCUUUGAGUUCCUGGGGAAGUAUGGUUGCAAGGCUGAAACUUAAAGGAAUUGACGGAAGGGCACCACCAGGAGUGGAGCCUG
Molecule: ribosomal RNA, 852 nt
Filed under: uncultured marine eukaryote
Lineage: Eukaryota
Description: SSU rRNA
Rfam family: Eukaryotic small subunit ribosomal RNA
Source: RNAcentral